Molecule: ribosomal RNA, 402 nt
Filed under: uncultured bacterium
Lineage: Bacteria
Description: bacterial SSU rRNA
Rfam family: Bacterial small subunit ribosomal RNA
Source: RNAcentral
UGGGGAAUCUUAGACAAUGGGGGAAACCCUGAUCUAGCCAUGCCGCGUGAGUGAUGAAGGCCUUAGGGUCGUAAAGCUCUUUCGCUGGGGAAGAUAAUGACUGUACCCAGUAAAGAAACCCCGGCUAACUCCGUGCCAGCAGCCGCGGUAAUACGGAGGGGGUUAGCGUUGUUCGGAAUUACUGGGCGUAAAGCGCGCGUAGGCGGAUCAGAAAGUUAGAGGUGAAAUCCCAGGGCUCAACCCUGGAACUGCCUUUAAAACUCCUGGUCUUGAGUUCGAGAGAGGUGAGUGGAAUUCCGAGUGUAGAGGUGAAAUUCGUAGAUAUUCGGAGGAACACCAGUGGCGAAGGCGGCUCACUGGCUCGAUACUGACGCCGAGGUGCGAAAGCGUGGGGAGCAAACA